RNAcentral lists this unclassified non-coding RNA (18 nucleotides) under Chlamydomonas reinhardtii. RNAcentral's name for it is "small RNA Cre_1570". Lineage: Eukaryota; Viridiplantae; Chlorophyta; Chlorophyceae; Chlamydomonadales; Chlamydomonadaceae. The record is from RNAcentral.
GACAGUGACGGGACCGGU